GACGUAGGUGGCGAGCGUUGUUCGGAAUCACUGGGCAUAAAGCGCACGUAGGCGGCCAAGUCAGUCAGGUGUGAAAUACCUCGGCUCAACCGAGGAACUGCGCCUGAUACUGCUUGGCUUGAGGUCCGGAGGGGAGAGUGGAAUUCCCGGUGGAGCGGUGAAAUGCGUAGAGAUCGGGAAGAACGCCGGCGGCGAAAGCGACUCUCUGGUCGGAAUCUGACGCUGAGGUGCGAAAGCUAGGGGAGCAAACGGG
Molecule: ribosomal RNA, 253 nt
Filed under: uncultured bacterium
Lineage: Bacteria
Description: partial 16S ribosomal RNA
Rfam family: Bacterial small subunit ribosomal RNA
Source: RNAcentral